CGAUGAUGCAUAGCCCGAGUUGAGAGACUGAUCGGCCACAUUGGGACUGAGACACGGCCCAAACUCCUACGGGAGGCAGCAGUAGGGAAUCUUCCACAAUGGACGCAAGUCUGAUGGAGCAAACGCCGCGUGAGUGAAGAAGGUUUUCGGAUCGUAAAGCUCUGUUGUUGGUGAAGAAGGAUAGAGGUAGUAACUGGCCCUUUAUUUGACGGUAAUCAACCAGAAAGUCACGGGCUAACUACGUGCCAGCAGCCGCGGUAAAAU
Molecule: ribosomal RNA, 264 nt
Filed under: uncultured Lactobacillus sp.
Lineage: Bacteria; Bacillati; Bacillota; Bacilli; Lactobacillales; Lactobacillaceae
Description: partial 16S ribosomal RNA
Rfam family: Bacterial small subunit ribosomal RNA
Source: RNAcentral